Molecule: ribosomal RNA, 385 nt
Filed under: uncultured bacterium
Lineage: Bacteria
Description: bacterial SSU rRNA
Rfam family: Bacterial small subunit ribosomal RNA
Source: RNAcentral
AUUGAACGCUGGCGGCAUGCCUUACACAUGCAAGUCGAACGGCAGCACGGGAGCAAUCCUGGUGGCGAGUGGCGAACGGGUGAGUAAUAUAUCGGAACGUGCCCGGUCGUGGGGAUAACGUAGCGAAAGCUACGCUAAUACCGCAUACGAUCUACGGAUGAAAGCGGGGGAUCGCAAGACCUCGCGCGAUUGGAGCGGCCGAUAUCAGAUUAGGUAGUUGGUGAGGUAAAGGCUCACCAAGCCGACGAUCUGUAGCUGGCCUGAGAGGACGACCAGCCACACUGGGACUGAGACACGGCCCAGACUCCUACGGGAGGCAGCAGUGGGGAAUUUUGGACAAUGGGCGCAAGCCUGAUCCAGCAAUGCCGCGUGCAGGAUGAAGGCC